This 253-nucleotide ribosomal RNA is filed under the name uncultured prokaryote. Its description in RNAcentral is "partial 16S ribosomal RNA". It matches the Rfam family "Bacterial small subunit ribosomal RNA", at positions 524 to 776 of the family's 1533-position model. The record is from RNAcentral.
UACGAAGGGGGCUAGCGUUGUUCGGAAUCACUGGGCGUAAAGCGCACGUAGGCGGAUUGUUAAGUCGGGGGUGAAAUCCUCCAGCUUAACUGGAGAAGUGCCUUGGAUACUGGCGAGCUCGAGCGAGGCAGGGGUGAUGGGAACUUCCGGUGGAGCGGUGAAAUGCGUAGAUAUCGUUUGGAACGCCAACGGUGAAAACAGACAGCUGGGAGUGUGCUGACGCUGAGACACGAAAGCCAGGGGAGCGAACGGG